RNAcentral lists this ribosomal RNA (240 nucleotides) under uncultured Lactobacillus sp. RNAcentral's name for it is "partial 16S ribosomal RNA". It matches the Rfam family "Bacterial small subunit ribosomal RNA", at positions 122 to 355 of the family's 1533-position model. Lineage: Bacteria; Bacillati; Bacillota; Bacilli; Lactobacillales; Lactobacillaceae. The record is from RNAcentral.
UAACCUGCCCAAGAGAUCGGGAUAACACCUGGAAACAGAUGCUAAUACCGGAUAACAACAGAUGAUGCCUAUCAACUGUUUAAAAGAUGGUUCUGCUAUCACUCUUGGAUGGACCUGCGGUGCAUUAGCUAGUUGGUAGGGUAACGGCCUACCAAGGCGAUGAUGCAUAGCCGAGUUGAGAGACUGAUCGGCCACAUUGAGACUGAGACACGGCCCAAACUCCUACGGGAGGCAGCAGUC